UCCGGCUUAUCACCGGCGGUUUCUUUAGAGUGCCCAACUAAAUGAUGGCAACUAAGGACAAGGGUUGCGCUCGUUGCGGGACUUAACCCAACAUCUCACGACACGAGCUGACGACAGCCAUGCAGCACCUGUCUCCAGGUUCCUUACGGCACCCCCAAAUCUCUUCGGGGUUCCUGGGAUGUCAAGGCCAGGUAAGGUUCUUCGCGUUGCAUCGAAUUAAACCACAUGCUCCACCGCUUGUGCGGGUCCCUGUCAAUUCCUUUGAGUUUUAACCUUGCGGCCGUACUCCCCAGGCGGAUAACUUAAUGCGUUAGCUGCGCCACCGAAGAGCAUGCUCCCCGACGGCUGGCAUUCAUCGUUUACGGCGUGGACUAC
This 375-nucleotide unclassified non-coding RNA is filed under the name uncultured Pseudomonadota bacterium. RNAcentral's name for it is "uncultured proteobacterium contains 16S-23S intergenic spacer region". Lineage: Bacteria; Pseudomonadati; Pseudomonadota. The record is from RNAcentral.